This 404-nucleotide ribosomal RNA is filed under the name uncultured bacterium. RNAcentral's name for it is "bacterial SSU rRNA". It matches the Rfam family "Bacterial small subunit ribosomal RNA", at positions 355 to 775 of the family's 1533-position model. The record is from RNAcentral.
UUAGGGAUCUUGCGCAAUGGGCGGAAGCCUGACGCAGCGACGCCGCGUGGGGGAGGACGGCCCUCGGGUCGUAAACCCCUUUUCCCGGGGACGAGGACGGACGGUACCCGGGGAAGAAGCACCGGCUAACUCCGUGCCAGCAGCCGCGGUAAUACGGAGGGUGCGAGCGUUGUCCGGAUUUACUGGGCGUAAAGGGCGCGUAGGCGGCCCGGUCAGUCGGCCGUGAAAGGGCGGGGCUCACCCCCGUCUCGGCGGUCGGGACGGCCGGGCUGGAGGGCGGUCGAGGGACGCGGAAGGCCGGGUGUAGUGGUGAAAUGCGUAGAGAUCCGGCGGAACACCGGUGGCGGAGGCGGCGUCCUGGGCCGCGCCUGACGCUGAGGCGCGAGAGCGUGGGGAGCGAACCG